RNAcentral lists this ribosomal RNA (301 nucleotides) under uncultured bacterium. RNAcentral's name for it is "partial 16S ribosomal RNA". It matches the Rfam family "Bacterial small subunit ribosomal RNA", at positions 509 to 808 of the family's 1533-position model. The record is from RNAcentral.
CAGUCGCCGCGGUAAUACGAAGGGUGCAAGCGUUACUCGGAAUUACUGGGCGUAAAGCGUGCGUAGGUGGUGGUUUAAGUCCGUUGUGAAAGCCCUGGGCUCAACCUGGGAAUUGCAGUGGAUACUGGGUCACUAGAGUGUGGUAGAGGAUAGUGGAAUUUCCGGUGUAGCAGUGAAAUGCGUAGAGAUCGGAAGGAACAUCUGUGGCGAAGGCGACUAUCUGGGCCAACACUGACACUGAGGCACGAAAGCGUGGGGAGCAAACAGGAUUAGAUACCCCCGUGUCCCUGUCUCUUAUACA